This 498-nucleotide ribosomal RNA is filed under the name uncultured bacterium. RNAcentral describes it as "partial 16S ribosomal RNA". It matches the Rfam family "Bacterial small subunit ribosomal RNA", at positions 30 to 523 of the family's 1533-position model. The record is from RNAcentral.
AUUGAACGCUGGCGGCAUGCUUUACACAUGCAAGUCGAACGGUAACAGGUCUUCGGAUGCUGACGAGUGGCGAACGGGUGAGUAAUGCAUCGGAACGUGCCCAGUCGUGGGGGAUAACGCAGCGAAAGCUGUGCUAAUACCGCAUACGAUCUAUGGAUGAAAGCGGGGGACCGUAAGGCCUCGCGCGAUUGGAGCGGCCGAUGUCAGAUUAGCUAGUUGGUGGGGUAAAGGCCCACCAAGGCGACGAUCUGUAGCUGGUCUGAGAGGACGACCAGCCACACUGGGACUGAGACACGGCCCAGACUCCUACGGGAGGCAGCAGUGGGGAAUUCUGGACAAUGGGCGCAAGCCUGAUCCAGCAAUGCCGCGUGCAGGAAGAAGGCCUUCGGGUUGUAAACUGCUUUUGUACGGAACGAAACGGUCUGGGUUAAUACCCUGGGCUAAUGACGGUACCGUAAGAAUAAGCACCGGCUAACUACGUGCCAGCCGCCGCAGUAA